This 894-nucleotide ribosomal RNA is filed under the name uncultured bacterium. RNAcentral describes it as "bacterial SSU rRNA". It matches the Rfam family "Bacterial small subunit ribosomal RNA", at positions 89 to 980 of the family's 1533-position model. The record is from RNAcentral.
GGUGGCGAGUGCGACGGGUGAGUAUACAUCGGACAUGUCCUGUAGUGGGGGAUAGCCCGGCGAAAGCCGGAUUAAUACCGCAUACGAUCUACGGAUGAAAGCGGGGGACCUUCGGGCCUCGCGCUAUAGGGUUGGCCGAUGGCUGAUUAGCUAGUUGGUGGGGUAAAGGCCUACCAAGGCGACGAUCAGUAGCUGGUCUGAGAGGACGACCAGCCACACUGGGACUGAGACACGGCCCAGACUCCUACGGGAGGCAGCAGUGGGGAAUUUUGGACAAUGGGCGAAAGCCUGAUCCAGCAAUGCCGCGUGUGUGAAGAAGGCCUUCGGGUUGUAAAGCACUUUUGUCCGGAAAGAAAUCCUUGGCUCUAAUACAGUCGGGGGAUGACGGUACCGGAAGAAUAAGCACCGGCUAACUACGUGCCAGCAGCCGCGGUAAUACGUAGGGUGCGAGCGUUAAUCGGAAUUACUGGGCGUAAAGCGUGCGCAGGCGGUUUGCUAAGACCGAUGUGAAAUCCCCGGGCUCAACCUGGGAACUGCAUUGGUGACUGGCAGGCUAGAGUAUGGCAGAGGGGGGUAGAAUUCCACGUGUAGCAGUGAAAUGCGUAGAGAUGUGGAGGAAUACCGAUGGCGAAAGCAGCCCCCUGGGCCAAUACUGACGCUCAUGCACGAAAGCGUGGGGAGCAAACAGGAUUAGAUACCCUGAUAGUCCACGCCCUAAACGAUGUCAACUAGUUGUUGGGGAUUCAUUUCCUUAGUAACGUAGCCUAACGCGUGAAGUUGACCGCCUGGGGGAGUACGGUCGCGAGGAUUAAACUCAAAGGACUGGACGGGACCCGCACAAGCGGUGGCAUGAUGUGGAUUAAGUCGAUGCAACGCGAAAAACCUUACCUACCC